AGCAAGUCCACCUUUAAGUGACUCAGAAAGAACUAAAUGAAGGUUCUGGAGUCAAAGUCUGGACUUGAAUCUAACUGAGAUUCUGUGACAAGAACUUAAAAGGACAGUUCAUGAUCUAAAACAAUCUAAUGUGACUGAAUUCAAACUAUUCUACAGAGAAGAGUGGAGCAGAAUUCCUCCAUGGUGAUGGAAAAGACUGAUCACAAGCUGGAACAAACAUUUAACUGCAGUUGCUGCUGCCAAAGCAGUUAUUAGGUUCUGAGGGGGUAAUUACUUUUUCACAGAUGUGAUCUUCAAUAAACCCAUAAUUUAAAAGUAGCAUGCAGUGCUUUGUGGGUUUUCUCUGUAUAAUAUUAAAUAAAUUUAAAUGUUUGAUGAUCCAGAACAUUUAUGAAAUCUGAAAUAACAGAAGACACCAGGCGGCAAAUACUUUUCCUAGUGCUAAAAAUCCACUCAAACACUGCAUAUUAUAAGUCUUGAAGCUUCCUGUGUCAGUUUGUUUAUGAGUGCAAAUGCAGUUCCAGGCUUCUACACUGGAGGUCAGCAGUAAAGAGAUGUUUGAGUCUCUAAGACAUAAGUCGUGAAUUACCUCAGAAUGAAGGACAAAAGGCUUUGGUUAUGCAUCGUAUUGAGGAGCAGAAAUCAGGGUUCUGCUGGAUUUUCUGCUUUGGUUAAACAUCAAGUUAAAAAGCAAAGCGACAUUUAAGCUUUUAAUGUUUAGUUUUCCCCUGGUAGUCUCCUUCCAUUUGCUUUAAAUGAUGCUGCCAGAGAGAGUACUACCUGAUAAUCGUCUACAUACAGUUUGACAGGGGAACCAGCCUUCUUUGCGGCGGUAUAAACCAGUCUUCUGCUGCCGUGUGAUGCCUGUUUAGACUUCAGAUCACGUCCCAUCAUGACUGGAUGAAGCCUGAGGCUAAACUGAGCCGUGUCCUCCUUGACCACUUGCUUCCUGAUUCUCCACACACUCCAUCACCCUCCUAUACAUUUAAUCGACGGUCUCUGAGCCCCCGCCACGGCAGGAAUUUUAGAUAGACUUGAUUAGAUGCUAGCAGGUGUGACGCCUCCUUCAUAGAAUGCGUGUACAGCAUGUUUCUUUCCCUGUCAUUGUAAUUAUCUUCAUUCUGUUUCAGUGAACGGGGCUGUUUCUAAGCUACUCGAACACCACGGGACUGGAGAUGGUACAGUUUGUCAAUUGGCCAAUUUAUGUCCUUGAAAAACAUCUCAGCAGCUAUUUUUGGGAUUGAAUCUGACUGAAUCUCCUGCACUUUUAUUACAACCAAUAAAAGUUCAGUCAGAUUCACUGAGGCUGACACUUCAGGUUAUAUUUUUAGGACAUAUUUUUCUACUUAUUUUUUUAAAUAUAUAAUUUUUGGCCCUAUUUUUCUACUAAUUUAUUAUAUUUUGAGGACAUUUUGUCCUACUAAUUCUUGUAUUUUUAAGAUGUAUUUUUCUACUUAUGUUUACAUGUGUCCUAAAAUAUAAACAUUUAAUAUUUUAGGGCACAUGUUUCUGUGUUGGUUUGCAUGUUUAUUAAGAUUUAUUUUUCUACUUAUUUUUAGAUUUUUAGGUCAUAUUUCUACUGUUUUUAUAUUUCUAGAAUAUGUUUCUUUUACUUUUUAAAUGUAAUUUUAAGAAAUAUUUUUCUGCUUUUCUUUAUAUUUUUGGUUCUAUUUUUCUACUUAUUGUUUAUAGUUUAAGGACAUAUUUUUCUACUUAUGUUCACAUUUUUAGAUCAGAUUUUCCUACUUAUGUUUAUAUUUUCAGGAGAAUUUUUUCCACUUAUGUUUGCAUUUUUAGGACAUAUUUUUCUCCUUUUUAAAUAGAUUUUUAGGACAUAUUUUCCCCUUAUGUUUACAUUUUUAGGACAUAUUUUUCUCCUUUUAAAUAGAUUUUUCGGACAUAUUUUUCUCCUUAUGUUUACAUCUUUAGGACAGAUUUUUCUUCUUUUAUCUCCUUCUGUUUCUAGGCCAGAAGCCCGGCGAUGACUCCGUCCACAGCUCCCACAUGGUUCUGGUCAGCACUCAGUCCCUCGUCAGCCUCCUGCUGCUGGUUCUGACCGCUAUCCUGUCCGGUGGCGUCUACCUGUGGAUCCUCAGAUACGUCUGCAUCGGCUGCUGCCAGCCCGUCCCGGUCGGCAUGGAGACCGAGGCUCUGGCCGCGGUGGUGUGAAGCAGCUAGAGUCCGUCUGACUGAGUCAAAACCAGACAGGAUGAACUGAUUGAACUUCGUUUACAGGUGAAUAUAGAAAUCUAUGAUCUGGCUUUGUCCACUCCAGAGCUCAAACGUUCAUGACAGAAACGACAUUCCUGUUAGGCUGAAACGAGCGAUGUCAUGUUCACUUGAAUAGAAGAUGAAUUUAUGUGUUUCAGUUAGUAACUGGUGCUCACGAAUUGGUAGCUCUCGUCCCCCAUAGCUGCACAGAUCCCACGUUAUUUCACCUGAAGGAAAAUGUCCAUAAGUUGUUGACGAGCUGAAGACGGACACAACUAUAGAGGUUGUUUCAACAGAAAGUCUCUGUUUGGUCGUCAUGAAAACUGGUAAUAACCAUCUUCUGUGUCAACCAAUGAGUUUUUCAUACAUAAGCUUCAAGUAAACACGUCAGUAAACCCAUUAUCACAUGUACAACACCAGUCAGAAGUUCGGACACACCUUCUCAUUCAAUGAUUAUUAUUGAUUUUAGUUGUUUAAUACAUUGCAGAAUAAUACUGAAGACAAAUAAGGUAAUAUUCAUCAAAGACAUCAUGAGCAGCUGAAGUUUUCUGCUGGUGGAGACCAAAACGGAGCGAAAAGGACAAUAAACACUGAAGUAGCUUGACUCUAAUUAGUAUUAACAUUGAAGUCAGUCUGGUGGAUGAGUAAUAAGGCCGCUUUCUGCUAAGAUGUGGUCAGAAGUUUGGACACAAACUACAAUGCAGAUUAAUACUGAAGAUGUCAAAACCAUGAAAGAACGCAUGUGGGAUUAUGUAGUAAUUGUGUAGUUGUCAAUAUUAAUGUACACUGUGGAAAACAAUUAAAAUCAAUAAAAAGCCAUUGAAUGAGAAGGUUUGUCCAAACUUCUGACUAUGUGUUAUUCCUCACCCAGCAGACUGACUUCAGUGUUCAUUAGAGUCAAGCUACUUCAGUAUUCAUGCUCCUUUUAGCUCCAUUUUGGUCGCCACCAACAGAAAACUUAAGUUGCUGGUGAUAUAUUUGAUGAAUUUUACAUUAUUUAGACGGGUUGACAUUAUAGUGUUGGUAGUUGCAUUGACAAUGUGUUAUAAAUUUGCUAGAUAGCUCAAUAUUUCUUCACUUUGAGGUCGUCUAGAGCAGCAAAAUAUUUUUUAAUCUACCAACUUAAAAGGGCACAUAACUCUUCUUUAAAAAAAAAAAAGUGGAAAAAAAACCGUAUGUUUAUGCGACCAAUAAGUGAAGUCUGCUAACUCAGUUUAGCUUGUUAGCUGGUACAUAAUAUUAUUAGAAGUUGUCAUAGCUUAAAAAGAUUGAUGCAAAUUGUUUAUUUGUUUAUUUAUAUUCAGACAAAAUGUUUCUUUUUUGGAAAUGGGGAUCAUAAUUCUUUGAAGGUUUGUCAUCAUUUCCAUUGCCUGUUGUCAUUUGAUCUAUUGUUAAAGUAAGAAUGAAUAUUCGAGCAGCCUUUAAACUUCCUGUGUUCAUUAACUAGUAAUUAAAUGUUUUAUUUAAUGCUCUUAAACUAAGUGUUUCAGAUGGACAAAGACAAAUCAAUGAAUGUAGAAAUAUAAAUACUGAAAUAUGUAAAAACAAACAAUAUCUUUCUUGGUGUUAAAUGGCAAGUAAAAUAAUAUUAAUAAUUUAUUUUUCAAGCAUUUAGGCAAAUAAAAAUGUCAAAACACGACAAGUCCAGGUCUUUACCAGUGUCAGAAUUAAAUACCAGUACAUUUAUAUAACAGUGCAAUAGUUGCUGAACACACACAUGAAAGCACAAAUUACAAAUAUGCAAAUGAACCAAUUCAAGCAGUGGAAAUGCUAAAUAAUGUAAAUGAGCCCAACUAGGAUCAACGUGAGCAUAUAAAAGCAUAAAGAUACAGAAAUCCAUGCUUUGUCUUUUACUCUACAUGCACAAAGAACUGAAGAUCCACAGACAUGCCGUUGUCUAUAUGAAUAAAUGAAGAUACAAAUCAA
This is a long non-coding RNA of Acanthochromis polyacanthus (spiny chromis), 4137 nucleotides long. RefSeq lists it as uncharacterized. The record is from RefSeq and is a predicted model, not a curated record. NCBI's taxonomy places the organism in Eukaryota, Metazoa, Chordata, Actinopteri, Pomacentridae. The transcript is spliced from 2 exons.